This 425-nucleotide ribosomal RNA is filed under the name uncultured bacterium. RNAcentral describes it as "bacterial SSU rRNA". It matches the Rfam family "Bacterial small subunit ribosomal RNA", at positions 354 to 796 of the family's 1533-position model. The record is from RNAcentral.
GUGGGGGAUAUUGCACAAUGGGGGAAACCCUGAUGCAGCGACGCCGCGUGAAGGAAGACGUACUUCGGUAUGUAAACUUCUAUCAGCAGGGAAGAAGAUGACGGUACCUGACUAAGAAGCCCCGGCUAACUACGUGCCAGCAGCCGCGGUAAUACGUAGGGGGCAAGCGUUAUCCGGAUUUACUGGGUGUAAAGGGAGCGUAGACGGUGAAGCAAGUCUGAUGUGAAAACCCGGGGCUCAACUCCGGGAUUGCAUUGGAAACUGUUUUACUUGAGUGCUGGAGGGGCAAGCGGAAUUCCUGGUGUAGCGGUGAAAUGCGUAGAUAUCAGGAAGAACACCGGUGGCGAAGGCGGCUUGCUGGACAGUAACUGACGUUGAGGCUCGAAAGCGUGGGGAGCAAACAGGAUUAGAAACCCGUGUAGUCC